AGUGAACGCUGGCGGUAGGCCUAACACAUGCAAGUCGAACGGCAGCACAGUAAGAGCUUGCUCUUACGGGUGGCGAGUGGCGGACGGGUGAGGAAUACAUCGGAAUCUACUUUUUCGUGGGGGAUAACGUAGGGAAACUUACGCUAAUACCGCAUACGACCUACGGGUGAAAGCAGGGGAUCUUCUGACCUUGCGCGAUUGAAUGAGCCGAUGUCGGAUUAGCUAGUUGGCGGGGUAAAGGCCCACCAAGGCGACGAUCCGUAGCUGGUCUGAGAGGAUGAUCAGCCACACUGGAACUGAGACACGGUCCAGACUCCUACGGGAGGCAGCAGUGGGGAAUAUUGGACAAUGGGCGCAAGCCUGAUCCAGCCAUACCGCGUGGGUGAAGAAGGCCUUCGGGUUGUAAAGCCCUUUUGUUGGGAGAGAAAAGCAGCAGGUUAAUACCCCGCUGUUCUGACGGUACCCAAAGAAUAAGCACCGGCUAACUUCGUG
This 492-nucleotide ribosomal RNA is filed under the name uncultured bacterium. RNAcentral's name for it is "partial 16S ribosomal RNA". It matches the Rfam family "Bacterial small subunit ribosomal RNA", at positions 29 to 507 of the family's 1533-position model. The record is from RNAcentral.